CCAUAUAUAACGUCUUCUACAUCUUUCUAACUUAUACGAAUUCUUAAUAGAGGUACUCAACCCCUAGUCCAGAUUUAGAAGACAACUCACCUAUUCACAGCUAACGGCGGCUCUCGUUGGUAGUUGGACAGCAACACAGAGACCAGCCUUGAGCCUCUCGGUGAUGGUGUUGAGCCAAAAUCGCAGAGGAAUAUACUGUGGUGUGAUGGCAAUAACAACACACGAGUUUAUAAAUUUUUCGGUAGAGAGAACUACAUAUGGAUUUUGGUCGGUUGCGCGGUUCUUGUGCGGGUGAGGGGGUUUUUUCCUUACUCGAAC
Molecule: long non-coding RNA, 318 nt
Filed under: Eucalyptus grandis
Lineage: Eukaryota; Viridiplantae; Streptophyta; Magnoliopsida; Myrtales; Myrtaceae
Description: long non-coding RNA (EGRA_LNC007674)
Source: RNAcentral